This 509-nucleotide unclassified non-coding RNA is filed under the name Hevea brasiliensis (rubber tree). The record is from RNAcentral. Lineage: Eukaryota; Viridiplantae; Streptophyta; Magnoliopsida; Malpighiales; Euphorbiaceae.
AAAAAAGAGAAGGAUAGAGUUUCUCAUUAUUUGCACUCAAGCAGCGAGACAAAACUUCUGGAGAAAGUGCAAAAUGAAUUAUUGGUUGUAUAUACCAAUCAAUUGCUUGAGAAGGAGCAUUCUGGAUGCCGAGUAUUGCUAAGAGAUGAUAAGGUAGAGGAUUUAUCUCGAAUGUAUAGGCUAUUCCAUAGAGUCCCCAAGGGAUUGGAACCUGUUUCAAAUAUGUUUAAGCAGCAUGUCGUUGCUGAAGGCAUGGUCUUGGUGCAACAAGCUGAAGAUACGACAAAUAGCAAGGCCGAAAGUUCAGGCUCAGGAGAGCAGCAGGUCUUCGUUAGAAAGUUGAUUGAGCUUCACGAUAAGUAUAUGGCUUAUGUUACGAACUGUUUUGCUAAUAACUCUCUCUUUCAUAAGGCUCUCAAGGAGGCAUUUGAGGUCUUCUGCAACAAAAUUGUAUCUGGUUGUUCAAGUGCGGAGCUCCUUGCUUCUUUUUGUGAUAAUAUUCUUAAGAA